CCCUUAGAUGGCCUGGGCUGCACGUGCGCUACAAUGACUGAGCCAGCGAGUAUUACCCUUCUCCGUCGGGAGUGGGCAAUCUUUUGAAACUCAGUCGUGUUAGGGAUUGAUCCUUGCAAUUAUCCCCCAUGAACGAGGAAUUCCCAGUAAGCGCGAGUCAUCAGCUCGCGUUGAUUACGUCCCUGCCCUUUGUACACACCGCCCGUCGCUACUACCGAUUGGAUGGUUUAGUGAGACCCUCGGAUCGGUCCCGACUCGGGGUGGGCUUCUGCCCCGGUCGUGGUUUCGCCGAGAAGACGGUCAAACUUGACUAUCUAGAGGAAGUAAAAGUCGUAACA
Molecule: ribosomal RNA, 338 nt
Filed under: uncultured eukaryote
Lineage: Eukaryota
Description: partial 18S ribosomal RNA
Rfam family: Eukaryotic small subunit ribosomal RNA
Source: RNAcentral